This 21-nucleotide non-coding RNA is filed under the name Arabidopsis thaliana (thale cress). Lineage: Eukaryota; Viridiplantae; Streptophyta; Magnoliopsida; Brassicales; Brassicaceae. The record is from RNAcentral.
CUCAGCCUGCUAACUAGCUAC